UACGGGGGGAGCAAGCGUUGUUCGGAUUUACUGGGCGUAAAGGGCGCGUAGGCGGCCACCGCAAGUCGACUGUGAAAUCUCCGGGCUUAACCCGGAAAGGUCAGCCGAUACUGCGGGGCUAGAGUGCAGAAGGGGCAACUGGAAUUCUCGGUGUAGCGGUGAAAUGCGUAGAUAUCGAGAGGAACACCAGUGGCGAAGGCGGCUCACUGGCCCGAUACUGACGCUGAGGCACGAAAGCGUGGGGAGCAAACAGG
RNAcentral lists this ribosomal RNA (254 nucleotides) under uncultured bacterium. Its description in RNAcentral is "partial 16S ribosomal RNA". It matches the Rfam family "Bacterial small subunit ribosomal RNA", at positions 524 to 776 of the family's 1533-position model. The record is from RNAcentral.